GGACUCACUUUGGCAGCACAUAUACUAAAAUUGGAAUGAUACAGAGAAGAUUAGCAUGACCACUGUGCAAAGAUGCCACACAGAUUUGUGAAGCACUCCAUAUUUUC
Onychomys torridus (southern grasshopper mouse) is the source of this 107-nucleotide small nuclear RNA. The record is from RefSeq and is a predicted model, not a curated record. Lineage: Eukaryota; Metazoa; Chordata; Mammalia; Rodentia; Cricetidae.